GACGUAGGAGGCGAGCGUUGUCCGGCUUUAUUGGGCGUAAAGAGCGCGCAGGCGGCUUGGUAAGUCGGAUGUGAAAACCCGGGGCUCAACCCCGGGCCUGCAUCCGAUACUGCCCGGCUAGAGGUAGGUAGGGGAGAUCGGAAUUCCUGGUGUAGCGGUGAAAUGCGCAGAUAUCAGGAGGAACACCGGUGGCGAAGGCGGAUCUCUGGGCCUUACCUGACGCUCAGGCGCGAAAGCUAGGGGAGCGAACAGG
Molecule: ribosomal RNA, 253 nt
Filed under: uncultured bacterium
Lineage: Bacteria
Description: partial 16S ribosomal RNA
Rfam family: Bacterial small subunit ribosomal RNA
Source: RNAcentral